RNAcentral lists this ribosomal RNA (457 nucleotides) under uncultured bacterium. RNAcentral describes it as "partial 16S ribosomal RNA". It matches the Rfam family "Bacterial small subunit ribosomal RNA", at positions 338 to 795 of the family's 1533-position model. The record is from RNAcentral.
CCUACGGGAGGCAGCAGUGAGGAAUAUUGGUCAAUGGGCGGGAGCCUGAACCAGCCAAGUCGCGUGAAGGAAGAAGGUCCUUAGGAUUGUAAACUUCUUUUGUCGGGGAGCAAAGGCGGAGACGCGUCUCCGGAUGAGUGUACCCGAAGAAAAAGCAUCGGCUAACCCCGUGCCAGCAGCCGCGGUAAUACGGAGGAUGCGAGCGUUCCGGAUUUAUUGGGUUUAAAGGGUGCGCAGGCGGGAGAUCAAGUCAGCGGUAAAAUGGCGGGGCGCAACCCCGGUCGGCCGUUGAAACUGGGUUUCUAGAGUUGGCGAGAGGUAUGCGGAAUUCGUGGUGUAGCGGUGAAAUGCAUAGAUAUCACGAAGAACUCCGAUCGCGAAGGCAGCAUACCGGCUCCAUACUGACGCUGAGGCACGAAAGCGUGGGGAUCGAACAGGAUUAGAUACCCUUGUAGUC